Long non-coding RNA from Vigna unguiculata (cowpea), 1011 nucleotides. Lineage: Eukaryota; Viridiplantae; Streptophyta; Magnoliopsida; Fabales; Fabaceae. The record is from RefSeq and is a predicted model, not a curated record.
AAUUCCCAUUUACACUCCCUCUGAUUUUUCCCCCUAAAACGAAAACCCUAAAUACAUUCAGACCACCCAAACACCACUUGCGAUCUGCACCAUUUGCAACACUCAUUCUCGAUUUGUGAAUUCUUCUCCUUCCUUUACCAGGUUUAUGGUUACUUUCGGAUCUUCCAAACCUUUCACCUUUAUUUUUGGUUCGUGGCUCCCUUCCACACCUUUUUUUCUUCCAACUCUUCCUCUGCAAUCCCUUCCAAACCUUUCAGAUCUCCUUUUUCUUAUUAUCUUCUUUGUCCGCAAGUCGAAAGGCUUGCUCAUAUUAUUUUUUUUCAGUUAAAAGGGUUUUUUCAUUUGACGAACACAAAACAACAAAAUAGUUCUUGGAUGAAAAGGAUUGAUUACUUGCAAAGGAUGAAAAGUGGGAAGUUGGAUUUGGGUGUUAGGAGGGACAUACUUGAUUGGGUUUGGAAGGAGCAUACUAUUUGUUAUUGGAUGUUAGGAGGGACAUACUUGAUUGGAUUUGGAAGGUUUUUCGAUGUUUAAGGGUUUUUCAUUUGACGAACACAAAGCAACAAAAUAGUUCUUGGAUGAAAAGGUUUGAUUACUUGCAAAGGCUGAAAAGUGAGAAGUUGGAUUUGGGUGUUAGGAGGGACAUACUUGAUUGGAUUUGAAAGGAGCAUACUAUUUGUUAUUGCAUGUUAGGAGGGACAUUCUUGAUUGGAUUUGGAAGGUUGCAGUAGAGGAGAUCAAGAAGUUUGAGGUUUUCACAAAGAUUGUUGAAGAUUUAAGAGGACAGAAAAUCAUAAAGCUUCCCCGUACUUAAAGAUAUUAUUCUUUCUCCUCAAAGAGUAAUUGUUGUUUUAGGACAAUUCAUUUGUUCUGUUUCUGUUUCUGGUGGAAUUUUAUGAUUUUCAGUUAUAAUUUAUUCAUGAAAAGUUGUAUUUAUGUUGUAAAUAAAUAUUGGUAAAGUGUAUUACUUUGGUUUGUGUAGGAAGCUAAAACUUAUUAUGUUCAGACAAA